AGCCUAUUCUAGCUCGACCACAUUCUAAGCCAAAAAUUUAAAAACCCAUUGUAGUAUAAGACUAAAACAUUCUCUAAACUUAGUAUAGGUGAUAGAAAAGGUACCCUCUCGACGCGAUAGAAAUUUGUACCGUAAGGGAAAGAUGAAAUAAUAAUGAAAAACCAAGCAACAAACAGCAAAGAUAGACCCUUGUACCUUUUGCAUCAUGAUUUAGCAAGAACAAUCAAGCAAAACGACCUUAAGCUUGUCCCCCCGAAACCCAAGCGAGCUACUUACAAGCAGCUAUCCAUGAGCGAACCCGUCUCUGUUGCAAAAGAGUGGGACGACUUGUCAGUAGAGGUGAAAAGCCAACCGAGCUGGGUGAUAGCUGGUUGCCUGUGAAAUGAAUCUAAGUUCUCCUUUGACCAUUCCUCUCGGACAUUGAACUCAACCUUUACGUAGUAGGUCAAGAGCAAUUUAAAGGAGGUACAGCUCCUUUAAAAAAGAACACAAUCUCCCCUAGAGGAUAACCCAUACCCUUCAAAAACUGUAGGCCUUCAAGCAGCCAUCAACAAAGAGUGCGUCAAAGCUCCACUGACCAAAAAAUAUGAAAGCAACAUGAAUCCCUUCCCAUCAACAGGCCAACCUAUAACAAUAGGAGAAUCAAUGCUAAAAUGAGUAACUACAGGGGACACCCCCCCCCCCCUCUUCAAGCGCAAACUUACAUCCACACAUUAUUAACAGACCAUAGUUAAUAUCUCAAUUAUAACAAGAUUAAAAUAUUACUACCCCCUGUUGCCCCAACUCAGGAGCGCCUAUUAGAGUGAUUAAAAUCUGUAAAAGGAACUAGGCAAAUCCGGGGCCCGACUGUUUACCAAAAACAUAGCCUUCAGCCAACCAAGUAUUGAAGGUGAUGCCUGCCCAGUGACAACAACGUUUAACGGCCGCGGUAUCCUAACCGUGCGAAGGUAGCGCAAUCAAUUGUCCCAUAAAUCGAGACUUGUAUGAAUGGCUAAACGAGGUCCUAACUGUCUCUUACAGAUAAUCAGUGAAAUUGAUCUUCCCGUGCAAAAGCAGGAAUGAACGCAUAAGACGAGAAGACCCUGUGGAACUUCAAAAUCAGCGACCACCGCAUACAAACUCAAACCCACUAGGCCCACAUCAACAAACGCUGGCCCGCAUUUUUCGGUUGGGGCGACCUUGGAGAAAAACAGACCCUCCAAAAAUAAGACCACAUCUCUUAACCAAGAGCAACCCCUCAACGUACUAACAGUAAUCAGACCCAAUACAAUUGAUCAAUGGACCAAGCUACCCCAGGGAUAACAGCGCAAUCUCCUCCAAGAGCCCACAUCGACGAGGAGGCUUACGACCUCGAUGUUGGAUCAGGACAUCCUAAUGGUGCAGCCGCUAUUAAGGGUUCGUUUGUUCAACGAUUAAUAGUCCUACGUGAUCUGAGUUCAGACCGGAGUAAUCCAGGUCGGUUUCUAUCUAUGAUAAACUUCCCCCAGUACGAAAGGACCGGGAAAGUAGGGCCAAUACUAAAAGCACGCCCUCCUAUAAGUAAUGAGCCCAACUAAAUUACUUAACAAGUUACUCUACCUACUCCUAGAAAAGGAUC
This 1597-nucleotide ribosomal RNA is filed under the name Haematopus palliatus (American oystercatcher). RNAcentral's name for it is "16S ribosomal RNA". It matches the Rfam family "Bacterial large subunit ribosomal RNA". The record is from RNAcentral. Lineage: Eukaryota; Metazoa; Chordata; Aves; Charadriiformes; Haematopodidae.